CGGGGGGGGGGCAAGCGUUGUUCGGGAAUUACUGGGGCGUAAAGGGGCGCGCAGGCGGCCUGGCAAGUCCUACGUGAAAUCCCACAGCUCAACUGUGGAACUGCGUGGGAUACUGCCAGGCUUGAGUCCGGGAGAGGAGAGUGGAAUUCCCAGUGUAGCGGUGAAAUGCGUAGAUAUUGGGAGGAACACCGGUGGCGAAGGCGGCUCUCUGGACCGGUACUGACGCUGAGGCGCGAAAGCUAGGGGAGCAAACGGGAUUAGAUACCCCGGUAGUCCUAGCCGUAAACUUUGAGCACUUUGUGUGGCGGGUAUCGACCCCUGCCGUGCAGAAGCUAACGCAUUAAGUGCUCCGCCUGGGGAGUACGGUCGCAAAGGCUG
RNAcentral lists this ribosomal RNA (378 nucleotides) under uncultured organism. RNAcentral's name for it is "partial 16S ribosomal RNA". It matches the Rfam family "Bacterial small subunit ribosomal RNA", at positions 524 to 896 of the family's 1533-position model. The record is from RNAcentral.